This 77-nucleotide transfer RNA is filed under the name Parcubacteria group bacterium CG2_30_48_51. RNAcentral's name for it is "tRNA-Val". It matches the Rfam family "tRNA". Rfam says of the family: Transfer RNA (tRNA) molecules are approximately 80 nucleotides in length. Their secondary structure includes four short double-helical elements and three loops (D, anti-codon, and T loops). The record is from RNAcentral. RNAcentral also lists the same sequence under 6 other names.
GGGCGCGUGGCUCAGUUGGUUAGAGCGUCUCGUUUACACCGAGAAGGUCCCUGGUUCGAAUCCAGGCGCGCCCACCA